RNAcentral lists this long non-coding RNA (199 nucleotides) under Selaginella moellendorffii. RNAcentral's name for it is "long non-coding RNA (SMOE_LNC001743)". The record is from RNAcentral. Lineage: Eukaryota; Viridiplantae; Streptophyta; Lycopodiopsida; Selaginellales; Selaginellaceae.
GAAGCUACUCACUGGCAAACAAAAGGAGGGGCAAAUUUUUUUUUCACAUAUAUUGGACUUACCCACCCUCUUGUCCCCCUUGCAAGGGGUCAGCAAGUGUGGUUUGUGCAUGUACCAAAAUUGCCUUGCCUCCUUUUGCCUGAUGGGGUGGCCAUUGUUUCCGUGAUGUGCAUUCUGCAGAGUUGGACAAGCAAAAGCA